CAGUCGCCGCGGGAAUACGUAGGGUGCAAGCGUUAAUCGGAAUUACUGGGCGUAAAGCGUGGGCAGGCGGUUAUAUAAGACAGAUGUGAAAUCCCCGGGCUCAACCUGGGAACUGCAUUUGUGACUGUAUAGCUAGAGUACGGCAGAGGGGGAUGGAAUUCCGCGUGUAGCAGUGAAAUGCGUAGAUAUGCGGAGGAACACCGAUGGCGAAGGCAAUCCCCUGGGCCUGUACUGACGCUCAUGCACGAAAGCGUGGGGAGCAAACAGGAUUAGAUACCCAGGUAGUCCCUGUCUCUUAUAC
This 301-nucleotide ribosomal RNA is filed under the name uncultured bacterium. RNAcentral's name for it is "partial 16S ribosomal RNA". It matches the Rfam family "Bacterial small subunit ribosomal RNA", at positions 509 to 807 of the family's 1533-position model. The record is from RNAcentral.